Rosa rugosa (rugosa rose) is the source of this 993-nucleotide long non-coding RNA. RefSeq lists it as uncharacterized. NCBI's taxonomy places the organism in Eukaryota, Viridiplantae, Streptophyta, Magnoliopsida, Rosales, Rosaceae. The transcript is spliced from 2 exons. The record is from RefSeq and is a predicted model, not a curated record.
UUGCCUCUGUUUUCCAGAUGAGGCGCAGAGGCGGCAAAGGCGGAGAUGGAGGCGUUGAAGGCAGUGAAAGCGCGCCUUAAGGCGUGCUGAGCGUACGCCUGGGAAUUUUUUUUUUUUUUUUUUUUUAAAACACCAAAACGACGUCGUUUUGUUGUUUGAGAAUUAUAACUCAUUCAGGUCUCAAGCUGAAGUCAUUUUCGACUUCCUUCAGCCUUCUCCAUCAAAACUCCGACUCUUUCACUUCCAAAUCCGAAAUCCCAACCAGCAAAUUUGAUAAAAUCAUCAAGAGCCCAUGAGUUUUCUCAAGGAUUUGGCUCUAAAGGAGGCUCUUUUCGCACUUGGAGCAAGAGAUUUUCUCACUUGGAGAGUUGGAAUUGGAUUUGCAGCAAAGGAUUUAAGAUCAUCGUGAACCAACCUCGUUACUCCACCAGGGGAUCAUUGUAGUUGCUACACUCGGUACCGCCUAGUGCAGAUGGAAAUGCAAAGAUUUCCCAACUUUCUAUGUCUUCACGAUUAAUUCCAUCCAACCCUGCAAGUGUUUUCUUUAUCAUAUUUGUACUAUAUAUUGAAUAAUUAAAUAGGCUUUAUAGUCUUUAAAUAGGCUUUAUCAUAUUUCCUUUAUCAUAGUCUUUAAACCAAACAGUUCAUAGGCUUCUUUCUAGUACAAACAUGAUAAAGGAAACACUUGCAAGGUUGGAUGGAAAUAAGAAAACUUAAUUAGAGUAAAAGGAAAGCUGAGUAUAGUUGGCAUUAUUGUUUGCGUUCCACAGUUUUCCAUGAACAAAAUUUUACACAUUGUUUGAGGGACACACAUGUCUACUUCGAUAAUUCGAUUCAAAACUUCUUUAUCUCCAACCCCAACAGGCUAGGAUAGCUGAGAAUCCUCUGAUAAUUAAGCACUGUAUAUAAGUUGGUGAUACGUACUAGUGUAGUCACACUAUAUAUAAGCCUCUACCAUUUCAUGAAAAUGCAUUAGUUCUUAAUAGGUGCGCA